RNAcentral lists this small nuclear RNA (285 nucleotides) under Tupaia belangeri (northern tree shrew). Its description in RNAcentral is "7SK RNA (ENSTBEG00000020510.1)". It matches the Rfam family "7SK RNA", at positions 1 to 249 of the family's 331-position model. Rfam says of the family: 7SK was discovered as an abundant small nuclear RNA in the mid-70s but a possible function has only recently been suggested. Two independent studies have found that 7SK RNA binds the CDK9/cyclin T complex (known as elongation factor P-TEFb). The record is from RNAcentral. Lineage: Eukaryota; Metazoa; Chordata; Mammalia; Scandentia; Tupaiidae.
GGAUGCGAGGUGAUCUGACGGUGGCAUUUGUCACCCCUUGGCCACCAGGUUGAUUUGACUGAUUUGGCUGGGUCAGCAGGUACUCCUUUCCUCUCUCGCCCCCCACACGCAUCCCUCCCAAAGCUGCACGCCUGGUGGAAGAGGACAGCCUUAUCGGACAGAAGAGGACGAUUCCAUGGUCCAUGGUGUUUGUGUAACAGCAUUCCCCUGCUAGAACCUCCAAGCAAGCUCUCCAGUUUGCAUGCAGCUAAUUCCACACACGUGUCUCAACGUUGGUGGUCCUUG